This 379-nucleotide ribosomal RNA is filed under the name uncultured bacterium. Its description in RNAcentral is "bacterial SSU rRNA". It matches the Rfam family "Bacterial small subunit ribosomal RNA", at positions 28 to 416 of the family's 1533-position model. The record is from RNAcentral.
GAUGAACGCUGGCGGCGUGCCUAACACAUGCAAGUCGAGCGAUUCUCUUCGGAGAAGAGCGGCGGACGGGUGAGUAACGCGUGGGUAACCUGCCCUGUACACACGGAUAACAUACCGAAAGGUAUGCUAAUACGAGAUAAUAUACUUUUAUCGCAUGGUAGAAGUAUCAAAGCUCCGGCGGUACAGGAUGGACCCGCGUCUGAUUAGCUAGUUGGUAAGGUAACGGCUUACCAAGGCGACGAUCAGUAGCCGACCUGAGAGGGUGAUCGGCCACAUUAGAACUGAGACACGGUCCAAACUCCUACGGGAGGCAGCAGUGGGGAAUAUUGCACAAUGGGCGAAAGCCUGAUGCAGCAACGCCGCGUGAGCGAUGAAGGCC